Molecule: non-coding RNA, 395 nt
Organism: Polypterus senegalus (gray bichir)
Lineage: Eukaryota; Metazoa; Chordata; Cladistia; Polypteriformes; Polypteridae
Source: the annotation of a RefSeq genome assembly
CCAAGAAAAUGAAGGCACUGGACACACUGACUGCAGUGCUCCUUAUCACCUUCAUGCUCGGCUCCAGUGCUCAGAUCACCCUGACUCAGUCUCAGUCAGUAGUGUCUGGCCAGUCUGGAGAGACGGUGACCAUCAAAUGCCAGACCAGCAGCUCUGUUUACAGCUCUAAUUAUAAAGUGGACAUUCUAGACUGGGUUCAGCAGAGAUCUGGAGUGCCUUCUAAGAGUAUCAUCUACGAUGGUGUCCGUCGGGUGUCUGGGGUGCCAAGUCGCUUCAGUGGCAUUGGAGAAGGGACUGAAUUCACACUGACCAUCACUGGAGUCCAGCCUGAAGAUGCUGGAUAUUACUACUGCGUACAGUACUUUACUGCACCAUACACAGUGACAAAGAGCUGA